RNAcentral lists this long non-coding RNA (597 nucleotides) under Daucus carota (carrot). Its description in RNAcentral is "long non-coding RNA (DCAR_LNC001934)". The record is from RNAcentral. Lineage: Eukaryota; Viridiplantae; Streptophyta; Magnoliopsida; Apiales; Apiaceae.
CUGGCGAUGAGGUCGAUCCUGUUGUUGCAAUCUGGAAGACAUGCUUAGCCGUGAAAAUGUCCUGAUCUGGAUAUUUAAAUAAGCGAGCGAAAAGUUUCAAGGGGUUGAUCACAUAACAAUUGAGCUUAGAUUGUUAGAGGACUACUGAUGGCCAUUUUAAAAAUCCACCAACUGAAAGUGAUUGUGAGUUUGCAGGCCUAGCAGUGGAUGAUGACUUAAUAAAUUUUAGGUACACAGUUGCUGACGAUAAGAUAUCGGGGUUGAAACAUAUUAGCGACUUGCAUCCCUUUUUCAUGUCUAUAUAGAAAAUUCAAAUUGUUCUUCGUAUAUUUUUUUUGGCUAAUUAAUUUUCAUGUUUAAAACUUGUCAUAUCUUUUAAUAAGAAGUCCAGCAUUCACAGCCAUAUCUGAGGACUCAUAAGAUUUUCCAUAAACUGGGUUGUGCAAAUAUUAACGCCCCUACAGAGAAACUCCCUCUGAUUUUGUAUUUAAUUUUUCCAUUAUGUGAUUUUCAUCAUAUUGUAGGCCUUAUUAACUUAUUAUGGACAAUAGUCGCAGCUUUCUAUGACUUCGAACUGUGCAACAUCUUUAGUUACAG